GACGGAAGGUGCAAGCGUUGCUCGGAAUCACUGGGCGUAAAGGGUGCGUAGGCGGCCGUGCAAGUCUGGCGUGAAAGCCCCGGGCUCAGCCCGGGAAGUGCGCUCGAAACUGCGCGGCUCGAGUGCCGGAGGGGAGAGUGGAAUUCCUGGUGUAGCGGUGAAAUGCGUAGAUAUCAGGAGGAAUACCGGUGGCGAAAGCGACUCUCUGGACGGCAACUGACGCUGAGGCACGAAGGCUAGGGGAGCAAACGGG
This 253-nucleotide ribosomal RNA is filed under the name uncultured bacterium. RNAcentral describes it as "partial 16S ribosomal RNA". It matches the Rfam family "Bacterial small subunit ribosomal RNA", at positions 524 to 776 of the family's 1533-position model. The record is from RNAcentral.